AUGAGGUCGAGCGCGCAGGUCUCCGACGCGAACACGACGGCGCCGUUGGGGCGGCGGCCCAUGACCAGCGGGCGGAAGCCGAAGGGGUCGCGCACGGCGAAGAGCUUGUCGGCCGUGAGGAACAGCAGCGAGUAGGCGCCCUGGAGGCGCUCGCAUGCGUCGCAGAUGCGGGCGAGCAGCGGGCGCGAGAGCGACGUGGCGAUGAGGUGGAGGAUGACCUCCGUGUCCGACGAGUUGUUGAAGAUGGAGCCCUGCGCCUCCAGCUUGUGGCGCAGCGGCAGGUAG
Molecule: ribosomal RNA, 285 nt
Filed under: Triticum aestivum (bread wheat)
Lineage: Eukaryota; Viridiplantae; Streptophyta; Magnoliopsida; Poales; Poaceae
Description: partial small subunit ribosomal RNA
Source: RNAcentral